UGGGGAAUAUUGCACAAUGGGCGCAAGCCUGAUGCAGCCAUGCCGCGUGUAUGAAGAAGGCCUUCGGGUUGUAAAGUACUUUCAGCGAGGAGGAAGGCGGUAAGGUUAAUAACCUUAUCGAUUGACGUUACUCGCAGAAGAAGCACCGGCUAACUCCGUGCCAGCAGCCGCGGUAAUACGGAGGGUGCAAGCGUUAAUCGGAAUUACUGGGCGUAAAGCGCACGCAGGCGGUCUGUCACGUCGGAUGUGAAAUCCCCGGGCUCAACCUGGGAACUGCAUUCGAAACUGGCAGGCUAGAGUCUUGUAGAGGGGGGUAGAAUUCCAGGUGUAGCGGUGAAAUGCGUAGAGAUCUGGAGGAAUACCGGUGGCGAAGGCGGCCCCCUGGACAAAGACUGACGCUCAGGUGCGAAAGCGUGGGGAGCAAACA
This 427-nucleotide ribosomal RNA is filed under the name uncultured bacterium. RNAcentral's name for it is "partial 16S ribosomal RNA". It matches the Rfam family "Bacterial small subunit ribosomal RNA", at positions 355 to 774 of the family's 1533-position model. The record is from RNAcentral.